UCCCAGUCAUCCUCACUGAAACUGCCAUCCAUAAAGGGGUAACUCUUCCUGGGAUCCCCAGGAGGGGUGCUGCUCUUCUGUCUGCUGGAUCUCCACUCAUGAGGAUGAAGAGCAAUACCAACAGCCUGAGAAAACAUAUCCAGGGGUAGCCAUGUUGGUGAAGAUACUGUACCAGAGAGAACUAAUGGACUGGGACUUUACUAUUUCAAGUUUCUACCAUGAACAAAGUGACAUCAAGACACUGGGACAUCUUGCUGAAAUAGGUUUGUCUGACCCUACUGCAGCUUGCCCUUAGCUUUAAACUUGCUCGACAGAAUGAAUACUAUACCCAAAGGAAGCCUCUUAUUUUCCACAAGGACCAUAAGACUGCACCAUGACAGCUUAGAAAAUGUGACUUUCUUUUAAGACUGAGUGCAGUCUGUUUGCACACAAGAAAAUGGUUGUGCAGGAAAUGCUAUUUCUCUCUUUUGCAUGUGCCAUAAAAUUCAAUAGGAUGCAGGCAGGAGAAUUUCCUAGUGGUUGAUAUAUGUGAUAUCACCUUGGACCUCUGCCCAGUAGAAUGCAAACUGAAACACACCUUUCUG
Molecule: long non-coding RNA, 584 nt
Organism: Sceloporus undulatus (fence lizard)
Lineage: Eukaryota; Metazoa; Chordata; Lepidosauria; Squamata; Phrynosomatidae
Exons: 4
Source: RefSeq, a predicted model, not a curated record